RNAcentral lists this long non-coding RNA (1170 nucleotides) under Cricetulus griseus (Chinese hamster). RNAcentral's name for it is "lncRNA (ENSCGRG00015037941.1)". The record is from RNAcentral. Lineage: Eukaryota; Metazoa; Chordata; Mammalia; Rodentia; Cricetidae.
GGUAAAGGCUCUCUCCAUCUUGUCUGGGUGCUCGGCCUGGGCCUCCACAGCCUGACCACUGUUGAUGAGGACUUGCUGGGGGACUGACUCAUCCUGCUGACUCACCUCCUCAGAGGAAUUCACACUUUCUGACCGCAUGCCCACUGGCCAGGCAGCUGACCAGAUGCACGCCAGGUGGCUCAGGAUCAAAAGCAUGCCACCCAUACUUCACCAGGGGUGUAAUGGACAAGGGUCGCCACAGAGGCGCUUCAGAUAAAUGGAAGCUGGAAACAGACUGCUUCCUGUGAGGCUGGUGAAACGGCACCACCUCCUGUCUCCUCUACCGAAUACUUUGUCCCCCAGGCACCCUUGCAGUCAGGCUUCACCUUCAUUGUCCUCCUUUACCAAGAACGAAGGAAAAGUUUCCAUCUGUAGAGCAUGAAAACAAACAUAGGUGGGUAGGAAAGUCAAGCAUCCUUGUCUCAGCAGUGUCCCUCAGUGGCCACAGGCUGGCCUCAAACUGCCCAUUCUCUUGCCUCAGCCAUGACUUAGACUCUUGCAACCUCAGCUUCCUCAGCCGAUGGAUGGAUGGGCUUGGUGAAGCCUAUUUCCUGAGUCGUGAUGAGUGCUGGUUGAGAUGGCCCUAGCUGCCUCUUCGGACUGUGACAGACUCACCCAACAGCAGCACCCUGAACAUUCCACAGCCAGUGGAGCACAGGGGGUUAAGGAUUCAGAACCUUUCUCUCCAACAGAGGAGAAAAUAGUGCCACUUCCGGGGCACUUGAAGGACAGAUUGCUGGGGAUGGGACUGCAAUCGGGCCUCGGAGAGGGAGAAGUGAUUGCUGCCCUCAUUAAUAUUACUGCUGGCAAAGGCUGCGUGGGACUCAAUCAGGUGUGUGCCUUAGAGCUGGGAACAGCAAACAAAGCGCUUUGCCAAGUACUGGUGGUCACUACUGAAAGACCAAACAUGAGGAAGUGGUGUGGAAACGCCUGGAUUUAUUAUCAGAGCAAGAUGGAAACACUGGGGCUGGAGAGAUGCCUCAGAGGUUAAGAGCACCGGCUGCUCUUCCAGAGGUCCUGAGUUCAAUUCCCAGCAACCACAUGGUGGCUCACAACCAUCUGUUAUGAGAUCUGGUGCCCUCUUCUGGCCUGCAGGCAUAACAUACAUGUAGGCAGACCACUGUAUACAUA